This 443-nucleotide ribosomal RNA is filed under the name uncultured bacterium. Its description in RNAcentral is "partial 16S ribosomal RNA". It matches the Rfam family "Bacterial small subunit ribosomal RNA", at positions 338 to 795 of the family's 1533-position model. The record is from RNAcentral.
CCUACGGGAGGCAGCAGUGGGGAAUAUUGGGCAAUGGGCGCAAGCCUGACCCAGCAACGCCGCGUGAAGGAAGAAGGCUUUCGGGUUGUAAACUUCUUUUGUCAGGGACGAAGCAAGUGACGGUACCUGACGCAUAAGCCACGGCUAACUACGUGCCAGCAGCCGCGGUAAUACGUAGGUGGCAAGCGUUAUCCGGAUUUACUGGGUGUAAAGGGCGUGUAGGCGGGGAAGCAAGUCAGAUGUGAAAACCACGGGCUCAACCUGUGGCCUGCAUUUGAAACUGUUUUUCUUGAGUGCUGGAGAGGCAAUCGGAAUUCCGUGUGUAGCGGUGAAAUGCGUAGUUAUACGGAGGAACACCAGUGGCGAAGGCGGAUUGCUGGACAGUAACUGACGCUGAGGCGCGAAAGCGUGGGGAGCAAACAGGAUUAGAUACCCUUGUAGUC